This 208-nucleotide long non-coding RNA is filed under the name Mytilus galloprovincialis (Mediterranean mussel). Lineage: Eukaryota; Metazoa; Mollusca; Bivalvia; Mytilida; Mytilidae. The record is from RNAcentral.
CCGAGCUUAAAAACACCCGAUCCCGACGUCCCGAAUAAGUCUUGCCUCCCUCAAAUCUCUACCCAACUUUCAUUUUGGCUAAAUCACUACUUUCACUUUCAGCAAUAAAUUCUUAUGCCCCGACCAUUUAUUGGAAUUAUGUGUUCUAGCCUAUUCGUCCGUUCGCUCGUUCGUCCAUCCGUUUAGCAAUAAAUUUUUAUGCCCCGGC